Molecule: ribosomal RNA, 155 nt
Filed under: Hypoxylon sp. SUT294
Lineage: Eukaryota; Fungi; Ascomycota; Sordariomycetes; Xylariales; Hypoxylaceae
Description: 5.8S ribosomal RNA
Rfam family: 5.8S ribosomal RNA
About the family: 5.8S ribosomal RNA (5.8S rRNA) is a component of the large subunit of the eukaryotic ribosome. It is transcribed by RNA polymerase I as part of the 45S precursor that also contains 18S and 28S rRNA.
Source: RNAcentral
AACUUUCAACAACGGAUCUCUUGGUUCUGGCAUCGAUUAAGAACGCAGCCAAAUGCGAUACGUNAUGUGAAUUGCANAAUUCAGUGAAUCAUCGAAUCUUUGAACGCAUANUGCGCCCAUUAGUAUUCUAGUGGGCAUGCCUAUUCGAGCGUCAU